UACGUAGGGGGCGAGCGUUGUCCGGAUUUAUUGGGCGUAAAGAGCUCGUAGGCGGUUCGAUAAGUCGGACGUGAAAUCUCCACGCUCAACGUGGAGGGGCCGUUCGAUACUGUCGUGACUCGAGUCCGGUAGGGGAGUGUGGAAUUCCCGGUGUAGCGGUGAAAUGCGCAGAGAUCGGGAGGAACACCCGUAGCGAAGGCGGCACUCUGGGCCGGUACUGACGCUGAGGAGCGAAAGCGUGGGGAGCAAACAGGG
RNAcentral lists this ribosomal RNA (255 nucleotides) under uncultured bacterium. Its description in RNAcentral is "partial 16S ribosomal RNA". It matches the Rfam family "Bacterial small subunit ribosomal RNA", at positions 524 to 777 of the family's 1533-position model. The record is from RNAcentral.